UCGAUUCCUAUUUGAAGAAAAUAAAACAAUUGUUUAAUCUCUUAAAGCACAAAAACAGGAAAAUUUCAAUUUCUGCUACUUAAAAUAGUGUCUUCUCUGCAGGGACUCAAAUAUAAUUCCAGGAAUUUCUUAUUUGUCACUGCUCUUUUCUUAUUUUGAAACUAAGUAGCAUACCUUUUCCUAGAGGAGUCUGCUUUCAUCUCAAUUUUAUUUUUUUAUAGAUAGGGUUUCCCUGUGUCACCCAGGAUGGAGUGCAGAGAUGUAAUCACAACUCACUGCAGCCUCGAACUCCUGGACUAAUGUGAUCCUUCUGCCUCAGCCUUCUGAGUAAUUGGGACUUCAGGCAUACACCACUAUACCCAGCUAAUUUUUAAAUUUUUUUGUAGAGAUAGGGUCUCACUAUGUUGCCCAGGCUGGUCUUGAACUCCUGGCCUCAAGUGAUCCUUCCACCUUGGCAUCAAAAAGUGCUGAGAUUAUAGGCAUAAGCCACCAUGCCCCACCUCAUCUCUAUCUUUUAAACACUUUAUUUCAAUAGGGUGAAUAAAAUUGAAUGAUAAACUAGAAAAUUUAAAAUAUAAAUGUGAAAACUAAAAAUUUGUCUUUUCUUACUAUAAGAGAGACGAUAUGAGGGAAACUGACUAGAAUGAAAUGAUAAUCAACAACUUCUGGGGAUUGUGAGUAGUAGGAGGUAUAAUACCUUCUAUUGUAUUAGUAACACUUAUUUUUAAGCUGGGCGAUGAUACACAGGUAUUCAUUGUAUUGUUUCUUUCUUUUUUUUUUUUCCUUUUUCUUUUCUUUUUUUUAAAUUUUGAGACAGGGUCUCACUGUUUCACCCAGGCUGGAGUGCAGUGGCUCUAUCAUGGCUCACUGCAACCUCAACCUCCCAAGCUCAAGUGAUCCUCCCACCUCAGCCUCCUGAGUAGCUGGGACUACAGAUGUGUGUCACCACACCUGGGUGAGGAAACUGAGGCAAAGAGAGCUUCUCCAAGGACAUAGAGGAAUCUCCCUCUCCCUCUCUUUCCACGGUCUCCCUCUGAUGCCGAGCCGAAGCUAGACGGUACUGCUGCCAUCUCAGCUCACUGCAACCUCCCUGCCUGAUUCUCCUGCCUCAGCCUGCCGAGUGCCUGCGAUUGCAGGCGCGCGCCGCCACGCCUGACUGGUUUUCGUAUUUUUUUGGUGGAGACGGGGUUUUGCUGUGUCGGCCGGGCUGGUUUCCAGCCCCUAACCGCGAGUGAUCUGCCAGCCUCAGCCUCCCGAGGUGCCGGGAUUGCAGACAGAGUCUCGUUAACUCAGUGCUCAAUGGCGCCCAGGCUGGAGUGCAGUGGCGUGAUCUCGGCUCGCUACAACCACCUCCCAGCCGCCUGCCUUGGCCUCCCAAAGAGCCGAGAUUGCAGCCUCUGGCCGGCCGCCCCCCCGUCUGGGAAGCGAGGCGCGUCUCUGCCCGGCCGCCCAUCGUCUGAGAUGUGGGGAGCACCUCUGCCCUGCCGCCCCGUCCGGGAUGUGAGGAGCGUCUCUGCCCGGCCGCCCCGUCUGAGAAGUGAGGAGACCCUCUGCCUGGCAACCGCCCCGUCUGAGAAGUGAGGAGCCCCUCCGCCCAGCAGCCACCCCGUCUGAGAAGUGAGGAGCCCCUCCGCCCAGCAGCCACCCCGUCUGCGAAGUGAGGAGCGUCUCCGCCCGGCAGCCACCUCGCCCGGGAGGGAGGUGGGGGGGUCAGCCCCCCGCCCGGCCAGCAGCCCCCGUCCGGGAGGUGAGGGGCGCCUCUGCCCGGCCGCCCCUACUGGGAAGUGAGAAGCCUCUCCGCCUGGCCAGCCGCCCCGUCCGGGAGGGAGGUAGGGGGGUCAGCCCCCCGCCCGGCCAGCCGCCCCGUCCAGGAGGGAGGUGGGGGUGUCAGCCCCCCGCCCGGCCAGCCGCCCCGUCCGGGAGGGAGGUGGGGGGGGUCAGCCCCCCGCCCGGCCAGCCGCCCCGUCCGGGAGGGAGGUGGGGGGGGGGGUCAGCCCCCCGCCCGGCCAGCCGCCCCGUCCGGGAGGUGAGGGGCGCCUCUGCCCGGCCGCCCCUACUGGGAAGUGAGGAGCCCCUCUGCCCGGCCACCACCCCGUCUGGGAGGUGUACCCAACAGCUCAUUGAGAACGGGCCAUGAAGACAAUGGCGGUUUUGUGGAAUAGAAAGGGGAGAAAGGUGGGGAAAAGAUUGGGAAAUCGGAUUGUUGCCGUGUCUGUGUAGAAAGAGGUAGACAUGGGAGACUUCAUUUUGUUCUGUACUAAGAAAAAUUCUUCUGCCUUGGGAUCCUGUUGAUCUGUGACCUUACCCCCAACCCUGUGCUCUCUGAAACAUGUGCUGUAUCCACUCAGGGUUGAAUGGAUUAAGGGCGGUGCAAGAUGUGCUUUGUUAACCAGAUGCUUGAAGGCAGCAUGCUCGCUAAGAGUCAUCACCACUCCCUAAUCUCAAGUACCCAGGGACACAAACACUGCAGAGGGCCGCAAGGUCCUCUGCCUAGGAAAACCAGAGAACUUUGUUCACUUGUUUAUCUGCUGACCUUCCCUCCACUAUUGUCCUGUGACCCUGCCAAAUCCCCCUCUGCAAGAAACACCCAAGAAUGAUCAAUAAAAAAUAAAAAAUAAAUGUAAAAAAAAAAAAAAAAAAAAAGAAAA
Long non-coding RNA from Gorilla gorilla gorilla (western lowland gorilla), 2648 nucleotides. RefSeq lists it as uncharacterized. The record is from RefSeq and is a predicted model, not a curated record. NCBI's taxonomy places the organism in Eukaryota, Metazoa, Chordata, Mammalia, Primates, Hominidae. The transcript is spliced from 3 exons.